ACGUGAUUACCGGCAAAACUUAAGCGGGUCACUAAGCGGAGGAAAAGAAACUAACCAGGAUUCCCUUAGUAACGGCGAGUGAACAGGGAAAAGCCCAGCACCGAAGCCUGUGGUCGUUUGGCCCCUAGGCAAUGUGGUGUUCAGGUUAGCUCGCGAAGAUGCUGCUCCACCCUAAGUCCUAUAAUGAGUAAGGUUACUCGGACAUGGCCCAAUGAGGGUGAAAGGCCCGUGGGGGUGGAGAUUCAGAAUGGCCAGUAUCUUCCUGAGCAGACCUUGGAGUCGGGUUGUUUGUGAAUGCAGCCCAAAGCGGGUGGUAAACUCCAUCCAAGGCUAAAUACUAGCACGAGUCCGAUAGCGAACAAGUACCGUGAGGGAAAGUUGAAAAGUACUUUGAAGAGAGAGUAAACAGUGCGUGAAACCGUUCAGAGGUAAACAGGUGGAGUUGAACUGCAAGCUCUGAGGAUUCAGCUGGUGAGUAUGGCAUGAGCUUGGUCAUAUUGGUUGUGUGCUCGGGUCUGCUUAGCUGCAGGUCUCCGCUUCGGUGGGGAUGCGCGAAUCACUCAUCAGGUGUUGUGCGCCCGGGUACUGACGGACCUGCUUGCCAGUGCACUUACUC
This 616-nucleotide ribosomal RNA is filed under the name Fasciola gigantica. RNAcentral's name for it is "partial large subunit ribosomal RNA". It matches the Rfam family "Eukaryotic large subunit ribosomal RNA", at positions 15 to 499 of the family's 3401-position model. The record is from RNAcentral. Lineage: Eukaryota; Metazoa; Platyhelminthes; Trematoda; Plagiorchiida; Fasciolidae.